This 389-nucleotide transfer-messenger RNA is filed under the name Candidatus Saccharimonadota bacterium. It matches the Rfam family "transfer-messenger RNA". Rfam says of the family: Bacterial tmRNA, also known as 10Sa RNA or SsrA, is named for its dual tRNA and mRNA-like properties. Its role is to liberate the mRNA from a stalled ribosome. Lineage: Bacteria; Candidatus Saccharimonadota. The record is from RNAcentral. RNAcentral also lists the same sequence under 1 other name.
GGGGCUGUAAGCUUCGACAUUUGGACAUUUACAAGUUGGUUUUGCAGGUCGCUUGUCAGCGUUAUAGGCACAUCUGAAUAGAUGCAAAAGAUUCACUUACUGCAAUGGUAAAUCGUGUGCAAAACAUGCGGUUUGCUGGCGCAUUACAAGCAGCUUAAUUGUCGCUUGGGCUGUCGGUUCGACAUCAGAUAGAACCAACCAGUCUCAUAUUCAUCUGAUUGCUUAAAUACUGUGAUCCAUAGUAUUUACUAAGAAUUCAGGAUUGCAGCACAUAAUGUUUUUGUCCGUUUUCAUCAUCAUGGGCUAAAGAAACCAUCCAAACAGACUAUACCUGUAGACCGCCAACUAGUAACCGAAUGGACGCGGGAUCAAACCCGCCAGCUCCACCA